This 1343-nucleotide ribosomal RNA is filed under the name uncultured bacterium. RNAcentral describes it as "16S ribosomal RNA". It matches the Rfam family "Bacterial small subunit ribosomal RNA", at positions 28 to 1378 of the family's 1533-position model. The record is from RNAcentral.
GACGAACGUUGGCGGCGUGCUUAACACAUGCAAGUCGAACGGAAAGGCCCUGCUUUUGUGGGGUGCUCGAGUGGCGAACGGGUGAGUAACACGUGAGUAACCUGCCCUUGACUUUGGGAUAACUUCAGGAAACUGGGGCUAAUACCGGAUAGGAGCUCCUGCUGCAUGGUGGGGGUUGGAAAGUUUCGGCGGUUGGGGAUGGACUCGCGGCUUAUCAGCUUGUUGGUGGGGUAGUGGCUUACCAAGGCUUUGACGGGUAGCCGGCCUGAGAGGGUGACCGGCCACAUUGGGACUGAGAUACGGCCCAGACUCCUACGGGAGGCAGCAGUGGGGAAUAUUGCACAGUGGGCGGAAGCCUGAUGCAGCAACGCCGCGUGCGGGAUGACGGCCUUCGGGUUGUAAACCGCUUUCGCCUGUGACGAAGCGUGAGUGACGGUAAUGGGUAAAGAAGCACCGGCUAACUACGUGCCAGCAGCCGCGGUGAUACGUAGGGUGCGAGCGUUGUCCGGAUUUAUUGGGCGUAAAGGGCUCGUAGGUGGUUGAUCGCGUCGGAAGUGUAAUCUUGGGGCUUAACCCUGAGCGUGCUUUCGAUACGGGUUGACUUGAGGAAGGUAGGGGAGAAUGGAAUUCCUGGUGGAGCGGUGGAAUGCGCAGAUAUCAGGAGGAACACCAGUGGCGAAGGCGGUUCUCUGGGCCUUUCCUGACGCUGAGGAGCGAAAGCGUGGGGAGCGAACAGGCUUAGAUACCCUGGUAGUCCACGCUGUAAACGGUGGGUACUAGGUGUGGGGUCCAUUCCACGGGUUCCGUGCCGUAGCUAACGCUUUAAGUACCCCGCCUGGGGAGUACGGCCGCAAGGCUAAAACUCAAAGGAAUUGACGGGGCCCCGCACAAGCGGCGGAGCAUGCGGAUUAAUUCGAUGCAACGCGUAGAACCUUACCUGGGUUUGACAUGGAUCGGGAGUGCUCAGAGAUGGGUGUGCCUCUUUUGGGGUCGGUUCACAGGUGGUGCAUGGCUGUCGUCAGCUCGUGUCGUGAGAUGUUGGGUUAAGUCCCGCAACGAGCGCAACCCUUGUUCACUGUUGCCAGCACGUUAUGGUGGGGACUCAGUGGAGACCGCCGGGGUCAACUCGGAGGAAGGUGGGGAUGACGUCAAGUCAUCAUGCCCCUUAUGUCCAGGGCUUCACGCAUGCUACAAUGGCUGGUACAGAGAGUGGCGAGCCUGUGAGGGUGAGCGAAUCUCGGAAAGCCGGUCUCAGUUCGGAUUGGGGUCUGCAACUCGACCUCAUGAAGUCGGAGUCGCUAGUAAUCGCAGAUCAGCAACGCUGCGGUGAAUACGUUCCCGGG